GGGCUGUUCCGCGGCUACCAUGCAGUCGAGGGGUAUAUAAUGCUUGCAUUAUAGAGACCGGCGCACGGGUGAGUAACGCGUAUGGAAUCUGCCUUGUACAGGGGAAUAGCCCAGGGAAACUUGGAUUAAUGCCCCAUAGUAUUAUGAGACGGCAUUGUUUUAUAAUUAAAGAUUUAUCGGUACAAGAUGAUCAUGCGUCCCAUUAGCUUGUUGGUGUGGUAACGGCACACCAAGGCUACGAUGGGUAGGGGCCCUGAGAGGGGGAUCCCCCACACUGGUACUGAGACACGGACCAGACUCCUACGGGAGGCAGCAGUGAGGAAUAUUGGACAAUGGGCGAGAGCCUGAUCCAGCCAUGCCGCGUGCAGGAAGACUGCCCUAUGGGUUGUAAACUGCUUUUUUACGGGAAGAAACACCAUUACGUGUAGUGGCUUGACGGUACCGUAAGAAUAAGGACCGGCUAACUCCGUGCCAGCAGCCGCGGUAAUACGGAGGGUCCGAGCGUUAUCCGGAAUCAUUGGGUUUAAAGGGUCCGUAGGCGGGCAAUUAAGUCAGUGGUGAAAGUCUGCAGCUCAACUGUAGAAUUGCCAUUGAUACUGGUUGUCUUGAAUCGUUGUGAAGUGGCUAGAAUAUGUGGUGUAGCGGUGAAAUGCUUAGAUAUCACAUAGAAUACCGAUUGCGAAGGCAGGUCACUAACAACGUAUUGACGCUGAUGGACGAAAGCGUGGGGAGCGAACAGGAUUAGAUACCCUGGUAGCCCACGCCGUAAACGAUGGAUACUAGCUGUCCGGCUCACAUUGGUGAGCUGGGUGGCCAAGCGAAAGUGAUAAGUAUCCCACCUGGGGGAGUACGUUCGCAAGAAUGAAACUCAAAGGAAUUGACGGGGGCCCGCACAAGCGGUGGAGCAUGUGGUUUAAUUCGAUGAUACGCGAGGAACCUUACCAGGGCUUAAAUGUAGUCUGACAGGAUUGGAAACAGUCUUUUCUUCGGACAGAUUACAAGGUGCUGCAUGGUUUGUCGUCAGCUCGUGCCGUGAGGUGUCAGGUUAAGUCCUAUAACGAGCGCAACCCCUUGUUGUUAGUUGCCAGCGAGUCAAGUCGGGAACUCUACAAGACUGCCCGGUGCAAACCGUGAAGAAGGUGGGAUGACGUCAAAUCAUCACGCCUUUACGUCCUGGGCCACACACGUGCUACAAAUGGCAAGUAACAAAUGGGCAGCCACUUACGCCAAGGUAG
Molecule: ribosomal RNA, 1235 nt
Filed under: uncultured bacterium
Lineage: Bacteria
Description: bacterial SSU rRNA
Rfam family: Bacterial small subunit ribosomal RNA
Source: RNAcentral